UACGGAGGGUGCAAGCGUUAUCCGGAUUCACUGGGUUUAAAGGGUGCGUAGGCGGGCAGGUAAGUCAGCGGUGAAAUCUCCGAGCUUAACUUGGAAACUGCCAUUGAUACUAUAGAUCUUGAAUUUUCUGGAGGUAAGCGGAAUAUGUCAUGUAGCGGUGAAAUGCUUAGAUAUGACAUAGAACACCAAUUGCGAAGGCAGCUUUCUACAGGAAUAUUGACACUGAGGCACGAAAGCGUGGGGAUCAAACAGG
Molecule: ribosomal RNA, 253 nt
Filed under: uncultured bacterium
Lineage: Bacteria
Description: partial 16S ribosomal RNA
Rfam family: Bacterial small subunit ribosomal RNA
Source: RNAcentral